UGGGGAAUCUUCCGCAAUGGGCGAAAGCCUGACGGAGCAAUACCGCGUGAGGGAGGAAUGCCUUUGGGUUCUAAACCUCUUUUCUCAGGGAAGAAGAUCUGACGGUACCUGAGGAAUAAGUAUCGGCUAACUCCGUGCCAGCAGCCGCGGUAAUACGGAGGAUGCAAGCGUUAUCCGGAAUCAUUGGGCGCAAAGCGUCCGCAGGUGGGUUCCAAAGUCUGCUGUUAAGGACUGGAGCUCAACUCCGGAACGGCGGUGGAAACUUGGAAACUAGAGUUCGGUAGGGGUAGCAGGAAUUCCCAGUGUAGCGGUGAAAUGCGUAGAUAUUGGGAAGAACAUCGGUGGCGAAGGCGUGCUACUGGACCGUAACUGACACUCAGGGACGAAAGCUAGGGGAGCGAAAGGGAUUAGAUACCCCUGUAGUCCUAGCUGUAAACGAUGGAAACUAGGUGUGGCU
RNAcentral lists this ribosomal RNA (457 nucleotides) under uncultured marine microorganism. Its description in RNAcentral is "bacterial SSU rRNA". It matches the Rfam family "Bacterial small subunit ribosomal RNA", at positions 355 to 827 of the family's 1533-position model. The record is from RNAcentral.